This is a non-coding RNA of Electrophorus electricus (electric eel), 250 nucleotides long. The record is from RefSeq and is a predicted model, not a curated record. NCBI's taxonomy places the organism in Eukaryota, Metazoa, Chordata, Actinopteri, Gymnotiformes, Gymnotidae.
UGUUGUUUUGGGGGUCUUGCAGAAGCCAAGCUGUUGAUCUGGACCGCAGCAGGAGCAGGUGCUGCUCUCCUCCUCCUCAUAGCUGUUAUUGCACUGAGCUGCUGGUGGAGAUCUCAUGGAGAUGCAACACUCCGUGAUUGUUGGAAUACAGUGUAUGCAGAUGUUAACGUUUCACAAAUCAGUAAACCAUCACAGAGCAACAUUAAUGGAGCACCCAUUUAUGAAACAGUGGAUGACCUCAGAGUUACGC